UCUUUCUUCAGCUGAGUGGUUAUAGCGAUAGACUAGAACUAAACAUCUAUACAUCUAUUUCCUUUGGGAGCGUAGGUUCAAAUCCUGCAGACGUUU
This is a non-coding RNA of Leptodontidium sp. MPI-SDFR-AT-0119, 96 nucleotides long. The record is from the annotation of a GenBank genome assembly. Lineage: Eukaryota; Fungi; Ascomycota; Leotiomycetes; Helotiales; Leptodontidiaceae.